Lineus longissimus is the source of this 1872-nucleotide long non-coding RNA. RefSeq lists it as uncharacterized. Lineage: Eukaryota; Metazoa; Nemertea; Pilidiophora; Heteronemertea; Lineidae. The transcript is spliced from 3 exons. The record is from RefSeq and is a predicted model, not a curated record.
GCGGAAAACUACCGCUUUUCCCGCUGGCCGAAAGUAGGACAUAAUUGUACGGAUAGUUACGGAGCCGAUUAGUUACCAGGCAAUUCACUCGGCCCCGGGGAACGCCAGUAGAAUCCAUCUUUUAUAAUCACCCGCGCGAGGAAAGAGGUUCUUAUAAAGUUAGGAUCCGAGAAAUCUGGUGACAUUUUCAAAACGGGACUUGGAUUUAACGGACUUGUUCGUAAGCGGAGAACUCCCCAUUGCUGCUAUGGUUACCAGGGCGUCCUUCUUUUCUGCCGUCUGCCUCAUCUUCUCCUGUCUGCUCUUGUAUACAUGCGCGGCACCUUAUCAGGGAAACAAUCGAUUCCAGACAGCCAAGCGAACCUUAGACCGGCCGUCAUCGGCCGAGCAAUGGCGGCCGUGCCCCCCUGGCGAGAAGGCUUCGGAGGACAUGGAGUGUUUUGACGAUUUGAUCCGAAUGUACUUGUACCUGAUGAACCGACGCGACAGGAAAAACUUCUAGGGAAACCACGUCCAUGUCACGUGACGAUAUAUGUUAAUGUUGUGACGGAUGAUCGGAAGCAAAAUAUAUUUGUUCCAUGUUAUUUUCCAGAAUUAUAAAAUGAUACUAGUUUCGACAUCAACUGAAUACAAGGAACGAUGCUGAAGGCUUGAAUGAGUGAUGUUGAAAUGCGAUUGGUCCGAUCUGACGACCUUCAAGAAGCGGUUUCGACGAUGUUAACGAAAACGUUUGUAAAAUUCACUGAAAGCAUUUUUUUGUGAAAAUGCUACAGCAACUAGCGACCCUUGACCUUUUGGAUUCUUUUAUAAAUGACCUAAAAUCUUUGCAAUUGACAUGUGACUGGCUAUACACACGCGCCAGUCUGUCUGUGGACAGAAUAGGUUCCACUAAUGUGCGGCGACGCGAUUUCGAACGAAUUUCACAAUGCGUGCGAUUUUUAAUUGUUUUGGUCCAGCAUCAGGCAGUCGCACGCCUCUCUGGUGGAUUGUAGAUGGCGAAAACUAGGACAUACCUUGCCCUAUUCCAACCCCGUCGCCGACCCAAUCACAGCAAUGUUCAGGAUAACUCGCACUAUUGCUUUUAGCGCGCUCGAUUACUAGCGCGGCGCUUGCGCGAGUAGGCGCCACAGUCCUUCCGGCACUGGCGCCUCAUUGCGCGCCAGGCCGAAGUGAGCGAAGUGAGCGAAGUGAGCGGGGUGGGUAACUUCGGGUUAAGCAGCGCCAGUAAUCGAACGCGCCAAAGUGAUAUAUGUUUUAGGAGCACCAUUUUGUUCGCAGGGGUUUUUGGUACUGGUUUGUUGUUCUUGUUGGAGGUGGUAAACAAUGGCAGAACAGAUUUCCACCUAUGCCGCGGAGCAACCAUGCUAUUACGCAACCCCUCACCAGUCGCCAGUCAGAACAAAUAAAAGAGACACCAUGGACACAUAGUUUUAGACAUCGCCACCACAUGACUACGAAAACUCAAUUGUAAGCAACAUGGACAAUGACUUUGGAUCAAAUAUAAAUUGUUAUUUUUACAUCAAAAAGUGUUACUUUUGUCCUGAUAGUCUUCCACCGGUUGAUAGGUUUUGAUCCUGACUUGUUAGAAUCCCCAAUAGGUCAGUGGCAGAACGGAAAAGUAUAUCAGGGUACGAACGCUUUUAAAAACGGCUUCUACAAGAAGGCGGGAUCUUUAAAGGCAUCAAUUCAGUCUCCCGGUCUUCCGUUUCGUAAUGUCGAAUUUUACAUCUACCCGUUGAAACUAUCGCAGUAGGUCGAGUGAGACUUGGCAACGAUGAUCACCAUUGACGAUGCUUGGAGAAUGGCAUCAAUUCUCAACCUCUGUCACAUGGACAAACCUACAUGAAUCCUCAAAAGGUCGGAAAUAUAUCC